This 254-nucleotide ribosomal RNA is filed under the name uncultured bacterium. RNAcentral describes it as "partial 16S ribosomal RNA". It matches the Rfam family "Bacterial small subunit ribosomal RNA", at positions 524 to 776 of the family's 1533-position model. The record is from RNAcentral.
UACGGGGGGAGCAAGCGUUGUUCGGAUUUACUGGGCGUAAAGGGCGCGUAGGCGGUCGUGACAAGUCACUUGUGAAAUCUCCGGGCUUAACCCGGAGCGGCCAAGUGAUACUGUCGUGCUAGAGUGCGGAAGGGGCUACUGGAAUUCUCGGUGUAGCGGUGAAAUGCGUAGAUAUCGAGAGGAACACCUGCGGCGAAGGCGGGUUGCUGGGCUGACACUGACGCUGAGGCGCGAAAGCCAGGGGAGCGAACGGG